This 352-nucleotide ribosomal RNA is filed under the name uncultured bacterium. RNAcentral's name for it is "partial 16S ribosomal RNA". It matches the Rfam family "Bacterial small subunit ribosomal RNA", at positions 338 to 687 of the family's 1533-position model. The record is from RNAcentral.
CCUAUGGGUGGCCGCAGUGAGGAAUAUUGGUCAAUGGGCGCAAGCCUGAACCAGCCAAGUCGCGAGAGGGAUGACGGUCCUAUGGAUUGUAAACCUCAUUUGUCGGGGAGCAAGGCCCGCCACGUGUGGCGGGAAGGAGAGUACCCGAAGAAAAAGCAUCGGCUAACGCCGUGCCAGCAGCCGCGGUAAUACGGAGGAUGCGAGAGUUAUCCGGAUUUAUUGGGUGUAAAGGGUGCGUAGGCGGAAGGUUAAGUCAGCGGUCAAAUGUCGGUGCUCAAAACCGGCCUGCCGUUGAAAAUGGUCUUGUUGAGGGAGCGAGAAGUAUGCGGAAUGCGUGGUGUAGCGGUGAAAU